RNAcentral lists this ribosomal RNA (490 nucleotides) under uncultured bacterium. RNAcentral describes it as "bacterial SSU rRNA". It matches the Rfam family "Bacterial small subunit ribosomal RNA", at positions 30 to 506 of the family's 1533-position model. The record is from RNAcentral.
AUUGAACGCUGGCGGCAUGCCUUACACAUGCAAGUCGAACGGCAGCAUGGAAGAGCUUGCUCUUCUGAUGGCGAGUGGCGAACGGGUGAGUAAAGCAUCGGAACGUACCGUGUAAUGGGGGAUAACGGUAGCGAAAGUUACGCUAAUACCGCAUACGACCUGAGGGUGAAAGCAGGGGAUCGCAAGACCUUGCGUUAUACGAGCGGCCGAUGUCAGAUUAGCUAGUUGGUAGGGUAAAGGCCUACCAAGGCGACGAUCUGUAGCGGGUCUGAGAGGAUGAUCCGCCACACUGGGACUGAGACACGGCCCAGACUCCUACGGGAGGCAGCAGUGGGGAAUUUUGGACAAUGGGGGAAACCCUGAUCCAGCCAUGCCGCGUGAGUGAAGAAGGCCUCGGGUUGUAAAGCUCUUUCGGCCGGGAAGGAAAUCGCACAGGCUAAUACUCUGUGUGGAUGACGGUACCGGCAUAAGAAGCACCGGCUAACUACGU